UUUUCUCCACCAGGGCCCUGCGGAAGAGGAGCUAUGCUUUGCGAUGCUGAGUGCUGCUGCUGCUCCAUCUGUUUCUGUACAAGUAUAACCAUGACGUGCAGGUCAGGGAGUUGAUCUAACAAAAUUCAGAAUUCAGAGUUGCUGAUACAAAAGGAGACAGCUUCACUGCCGGUGGCAAAAUGUCAUGGUUUGUCAUGCUUGGUAAUGCUCACGUCGUGGUGGAUCUGGAAGCAGCAGAACACUGCUGGUGUCGAGGUUCUAACCGACCUACUUGCAGGCUUGUUACUGUUAAUGCAUCGAGAUGUAAAGCUUUUGCAUUUUCUGUUUAUGAUAAUUCCUCCCUUCCUCUCUUUUUUGAUCUCUGAUCAGGCUUCGAUUCCUGCUUAUGGGUGGAUGGAGCUGAUAGGCCCACUGAAAUUAGGCCCAUAAGACCCUUCAUCUGGGCUGUAGCCUAUGUAAAAUCGAAUUGUGCUCUGUGACCUACGUAUUUGUUCUGAAAAAGUGAUUCUCAAAAA
Molecule: long non-coding RNA, 515 nt
Organism: Brachypodium distachyon (stiff brome)
Lineage: Eukaryota; Viridiplantae; Streptophyta; Magnoliopsida; Poales; Poaceae
Exons: 2
Source: RefSeq, a predicted model, not a curated record